UCCGGAAUUAUUGGGCGUAAAGCGCGCGUAGGCGGUUUUUUAAGUCUGAUGUGAAAGCCCACGGCUCAACCGUGGAGGGUCAUUGGAAACUGGAAAACUUGAGUGCAGAAGAGGAAAGUGGAAUUCCAUGUGUAGCGGUGAAAUGCGCAGAGAUAUGGAGGAACACCAGUGGCGAAGGCGACUUUCUGGUCUGUAACUGACGCUGAUGUGCGAAAGCGUGGGGAUCAAACAGGAUUAGAUACCCUGGUAGUCCACGCCGUAAACGAUGAGUGCUAAGUGUUAGGGGGUUUCCGCCCCUUAGUGCUGCAGCUAACGCAUUAAGCACUCCGCCUGGGGAGUACGACCGCAAGGUUGAAACUCAAAGGAAUUGACGGGGACCCGCACAAGCGGUGGAGCAUGUGGUU
Molecule: ribosomal RNA, 404 nt
Filed under: Staphylococcus sp.
Lineage: Bacteria; Bacillati; Bacillota; Bacilli; Caryophanales; Staphylococcaceae
Description: bacterial SSU rRNA
Rfam family: Bacterial small subunit ribosomal RNA
Source: RNAcentral